GUAGUUGUGGCUGAGUGGUUAAGGCAAUGGACUAGAAAUCCAUUGGGGUUUUCCCUGUGUAAGUUUGAAUCCUGCCGACUACG
Pelodiscus sinensis (Chinese soft-shelled turtle) is the source of this 83-nucleotide non-coding RNA. NCBI's taxonomy places the organism in Eukaryota, Metazoa, Chordata, Testudines, Trionychidae. The record is from the annotation of a RefSeq genome assembly.